GAUGAACGCUGGCGGCGUGCUUAACACAUGCAAGUCGAACGAGAAGUGAAGACGGAAACCUUCGGGCGGAAGGCUUUAUUUCGAGUGGCGGGCGGGUGAGUAACGCGUGGGUAACCUGCCUCAUACAGGGGGAUAACAGUUGGAAACGACUGUUAAUACCGCAUAAGACCACAGCACCGCAUGGUGCGGGGGUAAAAACUCCGGUGGUAUGAGAUGGACCCGCGUUCGAUUAGCCAGUUGGCGGGGUAACGGCCCACCAAAGCGACGAUCGAUAGCCGAUCUGAGAGGAUGACCGGCCACAUUGGGACUGAGACACGGCCCAAACUCCUACGGGAGGCAGCAGUGGGGAAUAUUGCACAAUGGGGGAAACCCUGAUGCAGCGACGCCGCGUGAGUGAAGAAGUAUUUCGGUAUGUAAAGCUCUAUCAGCAGGGAAGAAAAUGACGGUACCUGAGUAAGAAGCCCCGGCUAACUACGUG
This 478-nucleotide ribosomal RNA is filed under the name uncultured bacterium. Its description in RNAcentral is "partial 16S ribosomal RNA". It matches the Rfam family "Bacterial small subunit ribosomal RNA", at positions 28 to 507 of the family's 1533-position model. The record is from RNAcentral.